This 253-nucleotide ribosomal RNA is filed under the name uncultured bacterium. Its description in RNAcentral is "partial 16S ribosomal RNA". It matches the Rfam family "Bacterial small subunit ribosomal RNA", at positions 524 to 776 of the family's 1533-position model. The record is from RNAcentral.
UACGAAGGGGGCUAGCGUUGCUCGGAAUUACUGGGCGUAAAGGGCGCGUAGGUGGCGCGGGAAGUCAACGGUGAAAGUUCGGGGCUCAACCCUGAAUCGGCCGUCGAUACUCCCGGGCUCGAGCACUGUAGAGGCAGAUGGAAUUCCGGGUGUAGCGGUGGAAUGCGUAGAGAUCCGGAAGAACACCGGUGGCGAAGGCGGCCUGCUGGGACAGUGCUGACGCUGAGGCGCGACAGCGUGGGGAGCAAACAGG